Molecule: ribosomal RNA, 497 nt
Filed under: uncultured bacterium
Lineage: Bacteria
Description: partial 16S ribosomal RNA
Rfam family: Bacterial small subunit ribosomal RNA
Source: RNAcentral
GACGAACGCUGGCGGCGUGCCUAAUACAUGCAAGUUGAGCGCUGAAGGUUGGUACUUGUACCAACUGGAUGAGCAGCGAACGGGUGAGUAACGCGUGGGGAAUCUGCCUUUGAGCGGGGGACAACAUUUGGAAACGAAUGCUAAUACCGCAUAAAAACUUUAAACACAAGUUUUAAGUUUGAAAGAUGCACUUGCAUCACUCAAAGAUGAUCCCGCGUUGUAUUAGCUAGUUGGUGAGGUAAAGGCUCACCAAGGCGAUGAUACAUAGCCGACCUGGGAGGGUGAUCGGCCACGUUGAGACUGAGAAACGGCCCAAACUCCUACGGGAGGCAGCAGGAGGGAAUCUUCGGCAAUGGACGAAAGUCUGGCCGAGCAACGCCGCGUGGGUGAAGAAGGUUUUCGGAUCGUAAAACUCUGUUGGUAGAGAAGAACGUUGGUGAGAGUGGAAAGCUCAUCAAGUGACGGUAACUACCCAGAAAGGGACGGCUAACUACGUG